UUCACGGUAUUCUUUUCCCACCAGUUCCAGGAGAUCUCUGAAGUUCUUCCACAAGAUGUCUGGAUUUGUCAAAGAUAACCAUUAGAAUCCAUCUCACAACGCCAUUCAUUUCGGAAAACAUUUAGAUUUGUUCUGCGAAAUCAUUGAAAAUGUGCCAAAAGACCUCUACAUUUAACCCACAUUAAAGAUAGUGCACAAGGUGUCCGAAAAGGCCUUCAGAAUUGGUUUGAAUUUAUGCUAAAAGUCCUCUAUACUUUUCCCAUAAGGCUUUCAAGACUGCUAAAGUUCACUCCAAAUGCGUCGGAACUUGUUCCAAAAAGUAUUUAGAUUUGUCUGAAAAGGCUUUAGGAUUUGUGUCACGAAAUACCUCUGAACUUGUUCCAUGUUCCACAAGGUUUUUGAAGUGGCCGCAAAACAUCUCUGGUUUUGUCUCGUAAGGCCUCUGGAUUUGUUAUACAAGACCUCUGAACUAGUCACACAUGGUCGUUCGACUUGUCUCACAAUUUCUCUAGAUUGGUCUCAAAAGGCUGCAGGAUUUAUUUAAAGGGCUUCCAAAUUUGCCUUAAAAUGCUUCAGGUUUUGUCUCAAAACGUUUCAGGAUUUGUCCCGAACAACUUCUGGAUUUGUUCUACAAGACCUUUGACCUUUGAAGCUGCCGCACAAUGCCUCAGGACUUUUCACACAAGGCCGCAUGAUAACAUAAAGAUUUCUAGACUUGUGCUACGAAUUCUCUGAAUUUGUCUCAAAAGGCUGCAGGACUGUUCCAAAAAACCGCUGGGCUUGUCCCACCAGGCCCCUGGGCUUGACCCACAGGGGCUCUGGUUUUGUCCAAACAAGGCCCUGGGCUUGUCCAACGAAGGCCUCUGGGCUUGUCCAAACAAGGCCGCUGGGCUUGUCCCACAAGACCUCUGGGUUUGUCCCACAAGGCCUCUGGGCUUGUCCCACAAGGCUACUGGGCUUUUCCCACAAGGCCUCUGGGCCUGUCCCACAAGGCUACUGGGCUAGUCCCACAAGGCUUCUGAAAUUGUCCCACAAGGUCUCUGGGCUUGUCCCACAAGGUCUCUGGGCUUGUCCCACAAGGUCUCUGGGUUUGUCCAAACAAGGCCUCUGGGCUUGUCUAAACAAGGCCUCUGGGCUUGUCUAAACAAGGCCUCUGGGCUUGUCCCACAAGGCCUUGGGCUUGUCCCACAAUGCCUGGGAGCUUAUCUAAACAAGGCCUCUGGCCUUGUCUAUACAAGGCCUCUUGGCUUGUCCCACAAGGCCUCUGGGCUUGUCCAAACAAGGCCUCUGGGCUUAUCCCACAAGGUCUCUGGGCUUGUCUCACAAGGCCUCUGGGCUUGUCCCACAAGUCCUCUAGGUUUGUCCAAACAAGGCCUCUGGGCUUGUCCAAACAAAGCCUCUGGGUUUGUUCAAACAAGGCCUCUGGGCUUAUCCCACAAGGCAUCUUUGCUUGUCGUCCCAUAAGGCCUCUGGGCUUGCCCCACAAAGCCUCUGGCCUUGUCCCACAAGGCAUCUGGGCUUAUCCCACAAGGCCUCUGGGCUUGUCCCACAAGGCCUCUGGGCUUGUCCCACAAGGCCUGGGAGCUUAUCCAAACAAGGCCGCUGGGUUUGUCCCACAAGGCUUCUGGGUUUGUCCCACAAGGCCUCUGGGCUUGUCAUACAAGGCCUCUGGGCUUGUCCCACAAGGCCUCUGGGCUUGUUCCACAAGGCCUCUGGACUUGUCCUACAAGACCUCUGGGCUUGUCCCACAAGGCUACUGGGCUAGUCCCACAAGGCCUCUGGGCUAGUCCCACAAGGCUUCUGAAAUUGUCCCACAAGGUGUCUGGGCUUGUCCCACAAGGUCUCUGGGUUUGUCCAAACAAGGCCUCUGGGCUUGUCUAAACAAGGCCUCUGGGCUUGUCUAAACAAGGCCUCUGGACUUGUCCCACAAGGCCUCUGGGCUUGUCCCACAAGGCCUCUGGGCUUGUCCCACAAGGCUACUGGGCUAGUCCCACAAGGCUUCUGAAAUUGUCCCACAAGGCCUCUGGGCUUGUCCAAACAAGGCCUCUGGAUUUGUCCCACAAGGCCUCUGGGCUUGUCCAAACAAGGCCUCUGGGCUUAUCCCACAAGGCCUCUGUAUUUGUCCAAACAAGGCCUCUGGAUUUGUCCCACAAGGCCUCUGGGUUUGUCCAAACAAGGCCUCUGGGCUUGUCUAAACAAAGCCUCUGGGUUUGUUCAAACAAGGCCUCUGGGCUUGUUCAAAAAAGGUCUCUGGGAGUUCUUUGAAUGUGUUCCAAACGUGUUCUGUACCUUUCUCAGGUUUCCUCUAACCUUGUAGAAUACUUAGUCUGUAUGGCCGCUAGAUUUGUCCCUACAGCACCUCUCGUUAAAUAUCCGUACUACCCUCACAAGUACUUCAACAAUUCCUCUGAAGCAUUACCACAAGGCCUCUGAACUUCUUCCAGAAGGCCUUUUAACUUACAAAGCUUAUGAGCUCGUACUAGACGGUCUCUUGAUUUGCCUCAUAAGAACUAUGGAUCCACACGAUCUUAAGAUUUCCCCUGCAACCUUUGAAUGCGUGCCAAAAGGCCUUUGUACUUGAUCCAUAGUUUAUUCAAACUUGUUCUAAACGGUCGCUGCGCUUGUUCCACAAAGUUUCUGAAAAUGUCUCAUAAGGUUUCAGGACUUGUAUCUUAAGACAUCUAUCCCCCUAUUCUGCGAGUCACGUGACUCUCUGUCACCUUGUGUGAGGUGCCUCUCCAUUUGAUUUGCACAGAGAGUCACCUCACCGAUGAAAGAGAGUCACGUGACUCGCAGAAUAAGGAGGCUAGAUUUGUCCCAAACAGCCUAUGUACUUUUCCACAAGUUCUUUAAAUUUGUUCGACUAGGUCCCAGAACUUGUUCAACAAGGUAUCUGGAUUGAGCACACUACUUACUUAAGUAUCCUGGGCCCCUUUAGUAGAGCAAUGGGCCAACCUUUUAACCCGCUAAACUUUUGGAUAUCGCUCGGAAGGCAGUGCUGAUUUUACUCGGCAGUGGUACAACGACCUCUUGCGGGACAAAAGGUCUCUGUAUCACUUCCAGAAUUCUCUUAAACUUGCUCCCCUGAAUUCGUCCCAGAUCGCUUACUGAGUUAGUUUCAGCGCGGCCGUGUAUAAAACAAGAAUCCGUCCCGAAAGGGAAGUGAAGCCAUCCAUCUUGGCCUUGGCAUAACGAGCAAUGGCAACACGUUCCUUGUUGUGGACGGGAGAUUUGUUUCCCUUGCAGGUGCAAUCGAUUAAGUCCAACCUCAAAUUACCAUGGUCCACUAGCGGUGCACAUGUUCCAGGAAGUUUGUUGGAGAUGUUACGUAACUACUUUCAUUCGUAAACAAACGGCGGUAUCUGUUCAAAUCUAUGCUAUUUUCUGUCGGACAAACCUUCAAUAAUUUCCUAACAAUAUUUAAGAACGUUUUGCAGGUUUGACUCAGAGUUCUGGAGGCCUACAGUGCCUAUAUUUGCAUGACAAUCCAAUAUCCUGUGGAAUCCCUAUUAGCAUGGGACUGUUAUGCGAUUAGCGACAGUACAGGCUUAUAAGAAUCGAUUGACUGAAAUCGAUCACAGACAAACAGAUUUAACAUGUCGGUGAUUGUUUUGGCUUGCAAAUCAAUCGCCAGCCGCAGUGGUUCUAUGCAUUAUUCACCUAUAAUCUUAUUUUCGUUCGAACUCUUUUUUUGUAUGGAAAAUACGGUUCGAACGAAAACGAGAAUAUGGGUGAUUAUCUGACAGUUGCAAGCAAGUUUGUCACAAUGGCUCGCUCGCUGAACAUGUUGCACACAGAAAAAUAUGCACGUUUGGAUUUAAUGAUCCUAAUACCAAUAAUAGCAAUGUAGUUUGAUAAUUAUUUCAUUGUUUAAAGGAACCAUCUGGAAGCUUCCAUGUAAAUUAAAGUUUAAUCGGCAAACUUCACGUAAAAACAAAGUGUAGAUUUUUCUGAGUGUAUCAAGCACAGCUGAACAAAAAAUCAGGUUAGAAAGACCGGCCCGUCCAACGCAAAAUCCUCUGUGUAAUUAAUUUAAAAAAAUCCAAAGAGAGUAACAGGAGAAGACAAACAGGAAAUUCAAGUGCAAUCAACUUAGCAUUUUUUUUUAAUUUUCUGUACCAUUGAUCUUCUCUGAGACUCUUCUUUCUGCUGAAAUGUCUCUACCGAAGAACUUUGAACGAGCUGCCCACUCGCUUUGUCGCAACAUCAUCUUCUCACAUUGUACGUUUCUUCUGACGCAAAAAAUCAACUCAUCUUCCCCCUCUCAAGAGCAAUUCCUUUUAGCGAAAUAAAUGGCUUAGUGAUAAAUGUCAGCUAUAUAGCCUAGCAAUAUUUAGACAGCUGCGCGUGGUGUUUAUUGUUUUUAUCCACACUUGUUUCACCCUACGUUCUUCCGUAUAGGUAUUUGUGGCUGUUUUUCCCAUUUUCAAACUUUCGUUAAUUUGUUUCCAGUUCGUUUUACAUUUUAGCUCACCGACUUAGAUCAAGUGUUGUAAAGUUUUAACUACUUUUUCCUGUUCUCCUAUUCCUGUGGGAUUUGUGUAUAGUUGCCAACUAAAUCUGCUUUAUUUUAUAUAUAGAGAGAGAGAGCGAACGGAAACACCCAUUCACCCAAAAUUGCAUCGACUACCAUCUGUAAUUAGUACUCACAAACACACAUUUACACCAAAACACACAAACACACGCACGCCUCUUCUUUCGCACUGUGCGCACACUCUGGUGGUGCACAUUUCCAAACGAAAGAAGUAAAGUGAAUGAUACUUGUAAUUAAACAAAACGACAUACAAACACACACACACACACACACACACACACACACACACACACAAACAUGCAAUUCGUCUGAAGAAAUAGUUUUCUCUUGUUUGAUUUUAGUUAGCUUUAAAUUUCUGGAUGUGGAGUUUAUUCUAAUUGAUUGAUGAUAAAUCUAUUAUUACGCCCCCUUCCUCUUAAGAUCAAACCCGAGAAACGGAUUAGAAAGAGAUAGAGAGAGGAGUAAAACUUGCAAUGAAUUCAAUUUGAUAACGUUUUAUUACAAAUUUAAGCAGAACAAAAAAAAUAAUGCAUCAGCGCAGAAAACACAAUUCUAUUAAAAGAAAAAAAAAAAACAAACUAGAUUUGCUAAAAAAAACUACUAUGUGUAUAAAGAGGAAAGUGAAGAAAUUUGAAAAUCUAAACCAACUCAGACACUUGUGUGCAGACACAGGCACCAAGAACUCUAGAGCGACAGAGGUAAACAUGCUGCAAAAAAAAGAAAGCUAUUAACACUUGUAGUAGACCUUUGCGUUUUUAUCGCAAAACCUGCGAAACCUACACACGCAACACAGUAAAUAUGGAAAUCGAACUGAAUAAAAAAUAGGAAACAAAAACAAAACCAUAUUUAUUUAUUUUUUUUCCGUUUCCGUCUACUCGGUCGCCAACCAACACUAAACGAAUAGAAGAAAAAGAAAUACAACAAUGCAACAGAAAAUCGCGAAUGUAAAAAUCGGAACACAGAAAAAAGGGAGAAACUGACAAAAAAAAAUCAACUUAUAAAUAUAAUUUCCGUUCGAUUUAUUGUUUUUAAAUCAAUUGAAUUAAUUCAAGUAAAAAAUAUACCCAUACAAUAUAUAAA
Molecule: long non-coding RNA, 5614 nt
Organism: Ochlerotatus camptorhynchus
Lineage: Eukaryota; Metazoa; Arthropoda; Insecta; Diptera; Culicidae
Exons: 2
Source: RefSeq, a predicted model, not a curated record